ACCUGAGCUGAAAUCAGACGCUUAACCAACUGGGCCACCCAGAACACACCUCACACUGGCCCAGACUCACUCUGAGUUGCGCCUUCUUGCAUGGAGCCGAAGCAGAUCAAGAACCCAUUGCUACAAGGAAGCACCUAUUCCCUCCAUUUACUUUGCACCUACAUCUAUAAAGAAUAAAAAC
Molecule: long non-coding RNA, 181 nt
Organism: Lynx canadensis (Canada lynx)
Lineage: Eukaryota; Metazoa; Chordata; Mammalia; Carnivora; Felidae
Exons: 2
Source: RefSeq, a predicted model, not a curated record